AUACGUAGGGUGCAAGCGUUAAUCGGAAUUACUGGGCGUAAAGCGUGCGCAGGCGGUUUUGUAAGACAGAGGUGAAAUCCCCGGGCUCAACCUGGGAACUGCCUUUGUGACUGCAAGGCUAGAGUACGGCAGAGGGGGAUGGAAUUCAGCGUGUAGCAGUGAAAUGCGUAGAUAUGCGGAGGAACACCGAUGGCGAAGGCAAUCCCCUAGGCCUGUACUGACGCUCAUGCACGAAAGCGUGGGGAGCAAACAGUAUUAGAUACCCUGGUAGUCCACGCCCUAAGCUAUGUCAACUGGUUGUUGGGUCUUCAUUGACUCAGUAACGAAGCUAACGCGUGAAGUUGACCGCCUGGGGAGUACGGCCGCAAGGUUGAAACUCAAAUGAAUUGACGGGG
This 395-nucleotide ribosomal RNA is filed under the name uncultured bacterium. RNAcentral's name for it is "partial 16S ribosomal RNA". It matches the Rfam family "Bacterial small subunit ribosomal RNA", at positions 523 to 918 of the family's 1533-position model. The record is from RNAcentral.